This is a long non-coding RNA of Gasterosteus aculeatus aculeatus (three-spined stickleback), 2593 nucleotides long. The record is from Ensembl. NCBI's taxonomy places the organism in Eukaryota, Metazoa, Chordata, Actinopteri, Perciformes, Gasterosteidae.
CACACACACACACACACACACACACACACACACACACACACACACAUAAACACAAUGACACUUAAACAAACCACUACAUAUACACACAGUAAGAAAGGUUGAAAUACAUGAAGACACAGAGAGACAGAGGCAGGUUCACAGUGUCUCAGAUGCUGUUUUUAGAAACAUUGAAGUUCUGAGAUGGAAAAUACUUCUGAUGAUUCAGUGUCGGCGUUGUUUGACUUCUCUGAACGAGCUCAGAGAAACAGCAGCUUCUGGCCUGAUUCAUCCGGUGUGGUUUGUUUCUAACUUCUUGAGGUGAGGUGAGUCAGUCAGGUGGAACAGUAAACUUAAAAGAUUGUUUUAUCAAUUUAUCUAUGUAUUCAAUUUAGCAUUUUACAUUUUUUAAUUAUUCAAAUAUUUUAUUUUAAAAUUAUUUGUUAAAUGUUUAACAAAAUUUAAUUAAAUUAAGUUAAGUUAAGUUUAAUUAAAUUUGUGUAAUUUUAUCAAAAGUCAAUUUCCUUCUUUAGUUAUUCAUCAAUUCUUAGACAAAGGUGAAAACACAAAUAGAACAACAAGAAGAUACGCAAUCUUUAACAGUAUGGAAGGUGCUCAGAGGUUGUGGGUUUGAAUCCCAUCACCGUACAGUCAUUGUUGAGUGAGCACUUUGUGAGCACAUCAACAGCUCACGGCAACAGCCAACCCUGUCAUUACGGCUCAACCUGCCUGUUACCACGGUAACCAGGUAGCGUUACAGCUGUAAUCACAGCGUCUCAUGAGGACACAGUGUACCUUGAAGGGGGCGGUGCUAGUCAAAGAGCCAAUUAGAGGCUUGUAGUUGUCUCAGCGUUCUUCUUCAACAGUCCUUUAUUAGGGGUUCUACUAAAGGGUCACUCAAUGCAUUCAUCAGGUCCAUGUUGCAAUGCAUUGUGGGUGAAACCUGUUAGGGAGUCUGCAGAAAGUCUGAUCACAUUUUUUUUGGCGGAUGAAUAGACAAGAGGAAAGGAGGAAAUAAAAGCAAAACCAUUAUCUGAAAUCUUGUAUAAAUAACGAGAAUUUAAAAAGUUCUUCGCUCUCUUUGGCUUUUCCUUUGGCCCCUAUUUGUGCGUCCAAUCGCUUUAGCCACGUCGGAAGAUCGAGUCCAGGUGUCUGACUCGCGACUUUGCCCCCGAACAGAAAACCAGAAGCAAUUUCUGUUUGCUUGCUUGAAAUUUAUAGAAAAAAUAAGAAACAUGAAAUGAAGACGUUAUAUUUGGUUUGGAUGCCCAAUGAUGCCAAAUCACCAUCGAGGGUAGUUACAGGGCUGAGGCCGACGUCAAAAGACGGUAUCUGUCGUAACCCGUUUUCUUCCACCAACUAUGCGCCAUUCGCACCAACUUAUAGGAGCUUAUAGGAGCGCCCGCCUCUCCUGCAGGGGGCAGACUUUGCUUUUACAGUAACACAAAUAAAAAAGAACAAAAAAAUAAGUUAUUUUAAUACAUGACAAACUUAAAUGCGGCUCCUACAGUUUUCAUUUAUGUAAUGCAAACAAUUCAUUAACUUUUUUAAAUUAAAAAUAUUUGAUUCUGUCUCAACACAAAUCAACAUUUUAACUGCUUAAAGGGAGCAGUUUGCCCUUCUAUUCACUCUGUGCGCGUGUCUUUAUCUUAUUGAACGACUAUUGGUUCCAGAUGAUUGGCUCUACUUCAGAGGUCAGACGGUGGGAAUAUUAAUGUAUGUGUGUUUCUUCCCAUAUUUCCCCAUGGAAGGGUUUUUAAUUUUUUGGGGAAUUUUUCCUGUGCCGAUGUGAAGGUUUCAGAACAGAAAAAAAUAAUACAUUUAUAAAGUAUUCUUUAACCUUUUGUCAGGAAAUAGUGGAUGUAAAAGUAAACUCAACCCAAAACCUUUGAAUAGCUUAAAUGAUUGAUCCUCUAUAAAUCCAAUAACCUGUUAAGAGUCUCUUAUACAGUACAAUACAUUUCAUCAUUAUACAUUGCAAAAGCUCUUCAAAAACAGAAUGCAUAAAAAUGAGCAGUAAAAAUUACAACACAUGAUAAUAUGGCAUGAAAGUGAACACCAUGCUGGAUUUAAAACCUUUGAAUUUGCUUUCAUGAUGAUCAACUAGAAGUCCAACGCGCUGUCCAUUGCGCCACAGAGUCGCGCAUGAUUUGCAAAGAAUUCUCAAAAAAAGAAGAUAUCAAGUGAAUCAAAUAGUCCAAAGCAUGAGAAUACAGCGUAAAGAUGAACACCAUGCUGGAUUUAAAACUCGACUACGACAGAAGUAAAACUUUAAAACUCAAAAUGUAACGGACGGUAAAUGCAUUAUUAUGGGAUGGGAUAAAAUGCUUUUAUUUAAGCAGUAAUUCCCCAGAGAGAUUUCUGGCUUUUGUCACUGAAUCUAAAGUUCAACUCUGGUGGGACUCGAACCCACAACCUUUGAAUUACUUUCAUGAUGAUAUACUAGAAGUCCAACGCGCUGUCCAUUGCGCCACAGAGUCGCUCAUGAUUUGCAAAGAAUUCUCAAAAAAAGAAGAUAUCAAAAGAAAAAAAUAGUCCAGCACAUGAUAAUACAGCGUAAAGAUGAACACCAUGCUGGAUUUAAAACUCGACUACGACAGGAGUAAAACUUUAAAAC